This 206-nucleotide ribosomal RNA is filed under the name uncultured bacterium. Its description in RNAcentral is "partial 16S ribosomal RNA". It matches the Rfam family "Bacterial small subunit ribosomal RNA", at positions 568 to 774 of the family's 1533-position model. The record is from RNAcentral.
CGUGUAGGCGGUUUGGUAAGUCAGGUGUGAAAGCCCUGGGCUUAACCCAGGAAGUGCACUUGAAACUGCCUCACUUGAGUAUGGGAGAGGAGAGUGGAACUCCCAGUGUAGAGGUGAAAUUCGUAGAUAUGGGAGGAACACCGUGGCGAAGGCGACUCUCUGGACCAAUACUGACGCUGAGACGCGAAAGCGGUGGGGAGCAAACA